RNAcentral lists this ribosomal RNA (505 nucleotides) under uncultured bacterium. RNAcentral's name for it is "partial 16S ribosomal RNA". The record is from RNAcentral.
GGAGUUAGCCGGUGCUUCUUCUGUGAGUGAUGUCCUUCCUGCCGGUUAUUGACCCGCAGGCCUUCUUCCUCACUGAAAGUGCUUUACAACCCGAAGGCCUUCUUCACACACGCGGCAUGGCUGGAUCAGGGUUGCCCCCAUUGUCCAAUAUUCCCCACUGCUGCCUCCCGUAGGAGUCUGGGCCGUGUCUCAGUCCCAGUGUGGCUGAUCAUCCUCUCAGACCAGCUACGGAUCGUCGCCUUGGUGAGCCGUUACCUCACCAACCAGCUAAUCCGACAUAGGCUCAUCCGAUAGCGCGAGGCCCGAAGGUCCCCCGCUUUCCCCCGUAGGGCGUAUGCGGUAUUAGCCUGGGUUUCCCCCAGGUUAUCCCCCACUACCGGGCAGAUUCCUAUGCAUUACUCACCCGUCCGCCGCUCGCCACCAGGGAGCAAGCUCCCCGUGCUGCCGCUCGACUUGCAUGUGUUAGGCCUGCCGCCAGCGUCAUCUGAGCAGAUACAACUACUGA